This 828-nucleotide ribosomal RNA is filed under the name uncultured bacterium. RNAcentral's name for it is "bacterial SSU rRNA". It matches the Rfam family "Bacterial small subunit ribosomal RNA", at positions 29 to 899 of the family's 1533-position model. The record is from RNAcentral.
GGAGACGCUGCGGCAGGCCUAAUACAUGCAAGUCGAACGGUCAUCUUCGGAUGACAGUGGCGGACGGGUGAGUAACACGUGAGAAUCUGCCUUAAGGUCGGGGACAACAGUUGGAAACGACUGCUAAUACCGGAUGAGCUGAAAAGUAAAAGAUUUAUCGCCUUAAGAAGAGCUCGCGGCUGAUUAGCUAGUUGGUGAUGUAAAGGAUUACCAAGGCAACGAUCAGUAGCUGGUCUGAGAGGAUGAGCAGCCACACUGGGACUGAGACACGGCCCCAACUCCUACGGGAGGCAGCAGCAAGGAAUCUUGGGCAAUGGGCGAAAGCUUGACCCAGCGACACCGCGUGAGGGAUGAAGGCCUUCGGGUUGUAAACCUCUUUUCUUGGGGAAGAAUAAUGACGGUACCCAAGGAAUAAGCCUCGGCCAACUACGUGCCAGCAGCCGCGGUAAUACGUAGGAGGCGAACGUUAUUCGGAUUUACUGGGCGUAAAGGGAGCGCAGGCGGCUCGUUAAGUCAUGCGUAAAAUCUUCCGACUUAAUCGGAAGGGGCCGUGUGAUACUGGCGGGCUUGAGAGCAACAGAGGGAAAUGGAAUCCCCAGUGUAGCGGUGAAAUGCGUAGAUAUUGGGGAGAACACCAGUGGCGAAGGCGAUUUUCCAGGCUGUUUCUGACGCUGAGGCUCGAGAGCGUGGGGNAGCGAAGCGGAUUAGAUACCCGCGUAGUCCACGCCCUAAACGGUGGACACUAGAUAUAGGANGCAUCGNACCCUUUCUGUGUCGAAGCUAACGCUUUNAGUGUCCCGCCUGGGGAGUACGGCCGCAAGGCUNANC